RNAcentral lists this ribosomal RNA (497 nucleotides) under uncultured bacterium. RNAcentral's name for it is "partial 16S ribosomal RNA". It matches the Rfam family "Bacterial small subunit ribosomal RNA", at positions 28 to 507 of the family's 1533-position model. The record is from RNAcentral.
GAUGAACGCUGGCGGCGUGCCUAAUACAUGCAAGUCGAGCGAACAGAUGAGGAGCUUGCUCCUCUGACGUUAGCGGCGGACGGGUGAGUAACACGUGGAUAACCUACUUAUAAGACUGGGAUAACUUCGGGAAACCGGAGCUAAUACCGGAUAAUAUAUUGAACCGCAUGGUUCAAUAGUGAAAGACGGUUUUGCUGUCACUUAUAGAUGGAUCCGCGCCGCAUUAGCUAGUUGGUAAGGUAACGGCUUACCAAGGCAACGAUGCGUAGCCGACCUGAGAGGGUGAUCGGCCACACUGGAACUGAGACACGGUCCAGACUCCUACGGGAGGCAGCAGUAGGGAAUCUUCCGCAAUGGGCGAAAGCCUGACGGAGCAACGCCGCGUGAGUGAUGAAGGUCUUCGGAUCGUAAAGCUCUGUUAUUAGGGAAGAACAAAUGUGUAAGUAACUAUGCACGUCUUGACGGUACCUAAUCAGAAAGCCACGGCUAACUACGUG